ACAUGCAAGUCGAGGGGUAACAGGGUAGCAAUACCGCUGACGACCGGCGCACGGGUGAGUAACGCGUAUGCAACCUGCCUAGUAACUGGGGAAUAGCUCCCUGAAAGGGGAAUUAACACCGCAUAACACUAUUGAUUCGCAUGGAUUGGUAGUUAAAUGUAGCGAUACAGGUUAUAGAUGGGCAUGCGUGACAUUAGCUAGUUGGUGAGGUAACGGCUCACCAAGGCUACGAUGUCUAGGGGUUCUGAGAGGAAGGUCCCCCACACUGGUACUGAGACACGGACCAGACUCCUACGGGAGGCAGCAGUGAGGAAUAUUGGUCAAUGGGCGCAAGCCUGAACCAGCCAUGUCGCGUGCAGGAAGACUGCCCCCUAUGGGUUGUAAACUGCUUUUAUAGUAGAAGAAACACAUCUACGCGUAGAUGUCUGCCAGUAUACUAUGAAUAAGCAUCGGCUAACUCCGUGCCAGCAGCUGC
RNAcentral lists this ribosomal RNA (475 nucleotides) under uncultured bacterium. RNAcentral describes it as "bacterial SSU rRNA". It matches the Rfam family "Bacterial small subunit ribosomal RNA", at positions 53 to 518 of the family's 1533-position model. The record is from RNAcentral.